GAUGAACGCUGGCGGCGUGCCUAAUACAUGCAAGUCGAGCGAACAGACGAGGAGCUUGCUCCUCUGACGUUAGCGGCGGACGGGUGAGUAACACGUGGAUAACCUACCUAUAAGACUGGGAUAACUUCGGGAAACCGGAGCUAAUACCGGAUAAUAUAUUGAACCGCAUGGUUCAAUAGUGAAAUACGGUUUUGCUGUCACUUCUAGGUGGAUCCGCGCCGCAUUAGCUAGUUGGUAAGGUAACGGCUUACCAAGGCAACGAUGCGUAGCCGACCUGAGAGGGUGAUAGGCCACACGGGAACUGAGACACGGUCCAGACUCCUACGGGAGGCAGCAGUAGGGAAUCUGCCGCAAUGGGCGAAAGCCUGACGGAGCAACGCCGAGUGAGUGAUGACGGUCUUCGGAUCGUAAAACUCUGUUAUUAGGGAAGAACAAAUGUGUAAGUAACUAUGCACGUCUUGACGGUAACUAAUCAGAAAGCCACGGCUAACUACGUG
This 497-nucleotide ribosomal RNA is filed under the name uncultured bacterium. Its description in RNAcentral is "partial 16S ribosomal RNA". It matches the Rfam family "Bacterial small subunit ribosomal RNA", at positions 28 to 507 of the family's 1533-position model. The record is from RNAcentral.